RNAcentral lists this long non-coding RNA (570 nucleotides) under Mytilus galloprovincialis (Mediterranean mussel). The record is from RNAcentral. Lineage: Eukaryota; Metazoa; Mollusca; Bivalvia; Mytilida; Mytilidae.
UUACUUAACCCUUUCCUCCAUGGAUUUUUUUUCUUCACAUACUUGAUUCGCAUAAGGAUUUUUUUCAAUAAAAAAAAUCAUCAGGUUUAAAGUAUUUAUGCAUUGUGAAAAUGAAUAUUUCAUCAAUGAAAUUCAAGUCAGAUAUUCUCAUAAAUAUUCUUUUCAUAUUGGAUACAAACAUUUUUAAGUCUGAUGCAGACAUUUUGUAGUCUAAGCAUUUCAACUGAGGUACUACACAGGCGUCAAAAGGCGUCAUUAUGAAGUAAAGGGGGUGGCGUCAAAAAGCGUCAUUAUGGAGGAAAGGGUUAAACUAAAGUUAUAGUGCGAAAACCAAGAAAAUGCUUAUUUGGGCCCUUUUUGGCCCCUAAUUCCUAAAAUGUUGGGACCAAAACUCUCAAAACCAAUCCCAACCUUCCUUUUGUGGUCAUAAACCUUGUGUUAAAAUUUCAAAGAUUUCAAUUCACUUUUACUGAAGUUAGAGUGCGAAAACUAAAAGUAUUCGGACGACGACGCCAACGUGAUACCAAUAUACGACCAAAAAAUUUUCAAUUUUUGCGGUCGUAUAAAAAU